AGAGUUUGAUCAUGGCUCAGGAUGAACGCUGGCGGCGUGCCUAAUACAUGCAAGUCGAGCGGUAAGGCUUUCACUCUGUAUUUAAUGAGUUGAAUAUAGUGUGAAAGUACACGAGCGGCGGACGGCUGAGUAACGCGUAGGAACGUACCCCAAAGUGAGGGAUAAGCACCGGAAACGGUGUCUAAUACCGCAUGUGAUCUUCGGAUUAAAGCUUUAUGCGCUUUGGGAGCGGCCUGCGUAAGAUUAGUUUGUUGGUGAGGUAAAUGGCUCACCAAGACUACGAUCUUUAGCUGGUCUGAGAGGAUGAUCAGCCAGACUGGGACUGAGACACGGCCCAGACUCCUACGGGAGGCAGCAGUAGGGAAUUUCCACAAUGGACGAAAGUCUGAUGGAGCAACGCCGCGUGCAGGAUGAAGGCCUUCGGGUUGUAAACUGCUUUUAUCUGUGACGAUUAUGACGGUAGCAGAUGAAUAAGGAUCGGCUAACUCCGUG
RNAcentral lists this ribosomal RNA (492 nucleotides) under uncultured bacterium. RNAcentral describes it as "bacterial SSU rRNA". It matches the Rfam family "Bacterial small subunit ribosomal RNA", at positions 8 to 507 of the family's 1533-position model. The record is from RNAcentral.